CGAACCACGCUGGAGAAGCAGGGCACAUGCUUGAUUUAUGUAAGUUUUGAGCUUGUGUCCUACUUCUCCAGCAUGGUUUC
RNAcentral lists this microRNA precursor (80 nucleotides) under Glycine max (soybean). RNAcentral's name for it is "pre miRNA MIR164". The record is from RNAcentral. Lineage: Eukaryota; Viridiplantae; Streptophyta; Magnoliopsida; Fabales; Fabaceae.